GAUGAACGCUGGCGGCGUGCUUAACACAUGCAAGUCGAACGAGAAUCAACGGAUUGAGGAUUCGUCCAAAUGAAGUUGAGGAAAGUGGCGGACGGGUGAGUAACGCGUGAGGAACCUGCCUCGGAGUGGGGAAUAACAGUUGGAAACAGCUGCUAAUACCGCAUAAUGCAACGGAAUCGCAUGACUCUGUUGCCAAAGAUUUAUCGCUCUGAGAUGGCCUCGCGUCUGAUUAGCUAGUAGGCGGGGUAACGGCCCACCUAGGCGACGAUCAGUAGCCGGACUGAGAGGUUGACCGGCCACAUUGGGACUGAGACACGGCCCAG
This 323-nucleotide ribosomal RNA is filed under the name uncultured bacterium. Its description in RNAcentral is "bacterial SSU rRNA". It matches the Rfam family "Bacterial small subunit ribosomal RNA", at positions 28 to 334 of the family's 1533-position model. The record is from RNAcentral.